RNAcentral lists this microRNA precursor (162 nucleotides) under Setaria italica (foxtail millet). Its description in RNAcentral is "MIR2118 microRNA precursor family". It matches the Rfam family "MIR2118 microRNA precursor family". Lineage: Eukaryota; Viridiplantae; Streptophyta; Magnoliopsida; Poales; Poaceae. The record is from Rfam by way of RNAcentral.
UCUGGGAAGAGGAAGAUAAGAGGGCCUAAGUGUAGUAGGAAUGGGUACAUGGAGGAAAGCUUAAGCUCUGCUAUUACUCGUAUAAUGGAGCAUGAGACUUGAGUAUUCCCAAUGUCUCCCAUUCCUAUCAUUCUUAGGCGCUCCUUCCUCUUCCUUUGGUUC